Molecule: long non-coding RNA, 696 nt
Filed under: Panax ginseng (ginseng)
Lineage: Eukaryota; Viridiplantae; Streptophyta; Magnoliopsida; Apiales; Araliaceae
Description: long non-coding RNA (PGIN_LNC013954)
Source: RNAcentral
CGAAUCCGAAAAGGAUAAAUACUAGGAGAGUCUAGACAGUGUGAGGAGAGUAAUCCGCACUUGAACCCGUUUGGGAAUCAAAGAUUCAGAUCCACUUUUAUUUUAUCUAUAUCAUAUAAUUAUUUGUAUAUAUACUACAAGCCUCCUCGAAUCAAAUAAAGUUUUGUAUAAUUUCUCAUACUGGAGGUAUCCCAACGGCUCAAAUCGUCGAGUAUUUUCUGGUGGUGUUUUUUUGUGCAAGUUCACGUCCAAGCUGGUGAUUGAACAUGUGCCAGAAGGAGGGCCUCCGACAGUUUAGAGAAAUUUUUUUCAUCUUCGAAAUUAUCUGAUUUGGCUGAAGAAUUCCAUCAAGAUCAACAUUCAUAUUAUUCCGCAAAGUUGACUGCAUAAAGGAGAUUUGGAUGCUAAUUAAAACAAUCACCCGAGAUACACCAUUAGUGUUGGGAGUAACCACUAGGUCAUCAUCCUAGUUCUCAAUUCAUCAGCAACCCCAAAUCCCGGUGACGGCAUAACGUAAGGGAGACACACCCAUCUUGGGUUCAACUCCUAAAUCCCGUAGCCCCACCAUUCGAAGAAUGAAAUCCAUCGGCAUUCUCGUCAUCCCUACCGUAAUCAUUGGACACGAGACUCACGCCCAUCAUCUUCAUGGAACUAUGAUUUUGAAGAUCAUACUAUGGCCUUUGCAUUAGUCCCUCC